RNAcentral lists this ribosomal RNA (253 nucleotides) under uncultured bacterium. RNAcentral describes it as "partial 16S ribosomal RNA". It matches the Rfam family "Bacterial small subunit ribosomal RNA", at positions 524 to 776 of the family's 1533-position model. The record is from RNAcentral.
UACGUAGGGUGCAGGCGUUAAUCGGAAUUACUGGGCGUAAAGCGUGCGCAGGCGGUUUGCUAAGACAGGUGUGAAAUCCCCGGGCUUAACCUGGGAACUGCGCUUGUUACUGGCAGGCUUGAGUGUGGCAGAGGGGGGUGGAAUUCCGCGUGUAGCAGUGAAAUGCGUAGAGAUGCGGAGGAACACCGAUGGCGAAGGCAGCCCCCUGGGCUGACACUGACGCUCAGGCACGAAAGCGUGGGGAGCAAACAGG